This 622-nucleotide long non-coding RNA is filed under the name Ananas comosus (pineapple). Its description in RNAcentral is "long non-coding RNA (ACOM_LNC038285)". Lineage: Eukaryota; Viridiplantae; Streptophyta; Magnoliopsida; Poales; Bromeliaceae. The record is from RNAcentral.
UUUGAGUUUUACUAAAUUUUCAAAACUAAAUUUAAUAUUAUCAGAACGGAUACAUUACGUUGAGCUAGGUUGCUAUACUAUCGUUAGCAUGAAGGUUUCGGUACUACUAAGUUGUUUUCGAUGAUGCGGCCUCUGAAUCGACGAUCGGUUUCGUUAGACAUGAUCUACGCUAUUGAAAAUAUUUAGAAACUAAUUUUCAUAAUUUUUGACAUUAUUUGACUAAUGAUUAAAAGAUCUCAAAAUUGACAAUUUUACUGGUCGAUAUUAUGCGUUUGUGAAUUUAACAGUGUAAAAUAAAUUAAAUCUGAUAAAAAUUUUAUAAAAAAAAUUUCUUCACUAUUUAUAUAAGAUCAGUACCUCUGAUCUUAAAAUCAAAUCUUUUUUAUUAUUUUUUAUAAAAUUUUUAUUUUCAGACGUUCAUUUUUAGACUACUCGUCUGAUAAGUAAAAUGAUGUCGAAAAAUUAUAAAAUUUAGUUUUUUAGUACUUUUAAUAGUAUAGAUCAAGUUGUCUAAUGGAACCGAUCGUCGAUUUGGAAGCCGCAUUAUCGAAAACAACUUAAUAGCACGAUGACUUCCAUGCUAUAAAUAGUAUACUAGUCGGACUCCAUUACAUUUAACCAU